AAAUGCAACAACUUGAGCAAGAGUGAUCAGUUACUAAGAGGAGUACCUAACGUCCUUAGAAGAAAAGAUUCAGAUCAUAGGGAUUUUAUUUACAGAAAUGUAUUUACCUGUUUGUAAUGUAUGCCAGUUUAGGUAGCUCAUAGUGAGCACAAUAAAAUUCCAGAAGACCGAUGAUGGCUGUUAGAUAUAACAGAACGCUCUGAGAGUCACUAUCAGAAAUGAGCAUAUCAGUGCAUAAAAUGUAUGGUAGCUUUAUUUAGCAGCUGUUUCAUUGUUUACCAUAGCAUUUUUCUCGUUUAGUGGAUAUAGAAACUUGAAAGAAGACCAUAUACUGGAAACAAUUCCAUGUGUCUAAAAAAUGGUCUCCUCCAGUACACAAAAAUAAAACAUCAAAUGUUUAUUUCUUAGAAAGAUCAAAUAGUGCUAGGAUGACACUUACAAAAGCUUUCAAACUUUGGAUGAGUGGGAAGCCAGAUGACAAAGAUGCCUUAGAUGAGCAUAAGUCCUCUCCAACAGAAUAUGCUCCAUUAUAUCCUCAUCCAACAGGCUUUAUGUAUCAAUAG
This 563-nucleotide long non-coding RNA is filed under the name Homo sapiens (human). Its description in RNAcentral is "non-protein coding lnc-HSFY1-8:1". The record is from RNAcentral. Lineage: Eukaryota; Metazoa; Chordata; Mammalia; Primates; Hominidae.